This 1243-nucleotide ribosomal RNA is filed under the name metagenome. RNAcentral describes it as "SSU rRNA". It matches the Rfam family "Eukaryotic small subunit ribosomal RNA", at positions 558 to 1823 of the family's 1831-position model. The record is from RNAcentral.
AGUCUGGUGCCAGCAGCCGCGGUAAUUCCAGCUCCAAUAGCGUAUAUUAAAGUUGCUGCGGUUAAAAAGCUCGUAGUUGGAUUUUGGAACCUGAACGUUUGGUCCGGCUCUGCCGCGUACUGAUCGUUCGGUUCUUCUGUCUGGAGACUCCUUGUCCCUUCUUAGCUGAAGGGCUUGGGGGAUCUAGGACUUUUACUUUGAACAAAUUAGAGUGCCCAACGCAGGCCUAUGCCUUGAAUACAUUAGCAUGGAAUAACGUAUAGGACUUUGGUUCUAUUUUGUUGGUUUUAAGGACCGAAGUAAUGAUUAAUAGGGACAGUUGGGGGCAUUAAUAUUUAAUUGUCAGAGGUGAAAUUCUUAGAUUUAUGAAAGAUUAACUUCUGCGAAAGCAUUUGCCAAGGAUGUUUUCAUUAAUCAAGAACGAAAGUUAGGGGAUCGAAGACGAUCAGAUACCGUCGUAGUCUUAACCAUAAACUAUGCCGACUAGGGAUUGGAAGAUGUUAUUUUCACGACUCCUUCAGCACCUUAUGAGAAAUCAAAGUCUUUGGGUUCCGGGGGGAGUAUGGUCGCAAGGCUGAAACUUAAAGGAAUUGACGGAAGGGCACCACCAGGAGUGGAGCCUGCGGCUUAAUUUGACCCAACACGGGAAAACUUACCAGGUCCAGACAUAGUAAGGAUUGACAGAUUGAGAGCUCUUUCUUGAUUCUAUGGGUGGUGGUGCAUGGCCGUUCUUAGUUGGUGGAGUGAUUUGUCUGCUUAAUUGCGAUAACGAACGAGACCUUAACCUACUAAAUAGUUACGCGAACCACUUCGUUCGUGGCCAACUUCUUAGAGGGACUUUUGCGUGCUUUAACCAAAGGAAGUUUGAGGCAAUAACAGGUCUGUGAUGCCCUUAGAUGUUCUGGGCCGCACGCGCGCUACACUGAUACGUUCAGCAAGUUUACAACCUUGACCGGCAGGUCUGGGUAAUCUCUAAAAGCGUAUCGUGAUGGGGAUAGAUCUUUGUAAUUUUGGAUCUUCAACGAGGAAUUCCUAGUAAACGCGAGUCAUCAGCUCGCAUUGAUUACGUCCCUGCCCUUUGUACACACCGCCCGUCGCUCCUACCGAUUGAAUGGUCCGGUGAGCUCUUCGGACUGACUGGGUACCUCUGGCAACAGAGGCCUGUGUCGGGAAGUUGCACUAGCCUUAUCAUUUAGAGGAAGGAGAAGUCGUAACAAGGUUUCCGUAGGUGAACCUGCGGAAG